RNAcentral lists this long non-coding RNA (6549 nucleotides) under Musa acuminata (dwarf banana). Its description in RNAcentral is "long non-coding RNA (MACU_LNC001669)". Lineage: Eukaryota; Viridiplantae; Streptophyta; Magnoliopsida; Zingiberales; Musaceae. The record is from RNAcentral.
UUUGAUGUUGACUCUCAAAUCUCUGUCCUUACCAGUAAGCUUAACACUGACUUCUGCCAAGGGAUUUCUUAGGAGUAGCAUGCAAGUUUCUGUCAUUCACAUCAUUCAAAUAAAGUACUGGUUCUCAUUGUUCUUAAUUAUGCUUAAAAGAAUUACUGCUCAUCAGUGAUGGCAAUUUCACCUGGUUCAACUUGUACCUAGCUGCUUUUACUGGUGCAAGGCCAAGCCGAGACAUGGACCACCCCUAUUUCAGGCAGUCUGGUUCAUUAGGAAACAAUUGUUUAAAGAGAAGUCAGAAUUCAUGAUUAGGGCUUGUGACUUCUCCCUCUCCACUCUCAACUUCUCCCUCUCCACACACCCAAGCUUGUCGCCUCUUCACUGCCCACCAUGCACUGCCAGCAUGGUUUCAGCCUUUCAGGUACACUUCCUCUUCUUUCCCUCGUCCUCCAUUGCCUCCUCUUCUUCUCCUUCUUCCUUCUUCCUCCUCUUCUUCCAUCUUCUUCUUCUUCUUCCUCUGCUUUCUCUUCCUUUUUCCUCCCUUUCUCUCCCUCCCCCAACUUUUGCGGUUCGUUCGGUGUUUGUGCAUUAUGUAAUUUUGGUUACCAGACCCGUACCAGUCUGGCCAUAGACCGGCACGGGCCUGGUAACCUAAACUGCAAACCUUGCUGCUCAUAUUCCUUGCCAUAAAUUUAUGGACUUUACAUGUAUCUCUUGGACAUCUAUUUACUUUCUGGUCUAUUGCAUGGUAAAGAUCUAAGUUUUACUUCAACUGCCCUUUGUAGCCAUCAACUCCUGAUAUCUAAGAUUAUAUAUCUAUCAAUGUUUUAGAUACUGAUUGGUAUAUACUGACAAGUAUUUGCUAGUCCAAGUACCGGUAUUUAAAUGUACAGCUCGAUACAAAUACAUAUCAGUUCACUUUUAUGUUUUUAUUAUUUUAUUUGAUGGUAUACCAUCCAUUAUACAGGUACUUACAUGGUUACUGAUCUGACCAGUACUUAAAUCCUUGAUAUCUAUUAGCUGAAAUGUUGAUGACACCCUGAUGUACACUUUUUUUGAAGGUUCUGGCUUAUGCCCAGCAAUCAAGGGAGAGAUCUAGCUAUGAACAAGCAGCGCUUAUAGAAAGAAUGCAAGAGUUCAAAAGACAGAUUGAUCGAGAAAGUAGAUGGUCUGCAAAUGGGUCAAACGAUUCUCCCAAUGGAGAUGGCAUACAAGCUAUUGGAAGGAGUUCUCAUAAAAUGAUAGAGGCAGUGAUGCAGACAGCUGCAAAAGGGAAGGUAACAUACUUGAUUAUGUUCCAUUUUGCAUAGCUUUAUUUAUUAAAUUGUAGAAAAUCGAGAGCAACUUUUGAAACUUAUGGAUUUUAAAGAUUCAUGUCACUUUCCUGUUCUCAGGUUCAAACUAUUAGACAAGGUUAUCUCUCAAAGCGCUCUUCAAAUCUAAGAGGUGAUUGGAAGAGAAGGUUCUUUGUUCUUGAUAGUCGGGGCAUGUUAUAUUAUUAUCGUAAACAGUGGAGCAGAUCAUCUGUAAGUUUAUCUCAGUUGAAUGUAACACUGAGAACAGUGGUUAAAUUAGCAACCAUGUGCAUAACUUGACUAGGGUGCUUUCAUUUGAUCUUACCCUUUGAAUAUGCUUCAUAAUUUAGGGAGGUCACCAUCCUAACCAGAGAGGUCAUAAUUCCUCUGAACAUGGUCCCGGACUGCUGAGUCGAUGGUUUUCUUCUCACUAUCAUGGUGGUGUACAUGAUGAGAAAUGUGUUGCACGUCAUACUGUAAACUUGCUAACAUCAACAAUAAAAGUUGAUGCAGACCAGUCAGAUCUGCGUUUCUGCUUCAGGAUUAUAUCACCGACAAAGAAUUACACUUUGCAGGUAGAUUGUUAGACCUCCAAGAAGAGUGAACUUGUAAUUCAAUUUCAUUUUCUUGUGACAUUUGCAAAACGUGCCUCAAGCAGGGGAGUUACAUUGUGUAAUGUGGUUUCUUAAAAUGAGCUUUUUUCGCCACUUGUUUCUGAACUUAAUGUCUAGGUUGUUUUUAUCAUUGUUAUACAUCAAAAGCUAGUUUCUCUUCUGGACUACUCAAUACAUUUUCUUUUUUUCUUUGGUUACUACAGGCAGAGAGUGCCAUGGAUCAAAUGGAUUGGAUUGAAAAAAUAACUGGUGUUAUUGCUUCUCUGCUAAGCUCUCAGUCACCUGAACAGGUUGGUGAGGAAACAUUUAUUUGCUAGCAUGUCUGGUAGUAAAUGGGUUCAUCUAUGAAGUUGCUCUUGAAUUUAUUUCAGCGCCUUCUCACAAGCCCCAUGAGCGGUGGCCACCAUCGAGCAGCCAGUGAGAGUAGCUCAUUUGGUAGCUCAUGUGAUCUUGAUCAUUUAGCAAGUGAAGAAUCAUCAUUGGAAAAAUGCAGCAUCGGUGGCCAUUUUGACUGUUCUAUUAGGAGCUCACAACAGUAUAGGUUCAACUCAAAGCAUGAGAAGCCAAUUGAUGUGUUACGAAAAGUCUGUGGAAAUGAUAUAUGUGCUGACUGUGGUGCUCCUGAACCUGACUGGGCAUCCCUGAACCUUGGAAUUCUGCUUUGCAUUGAGUGUUCUGGGGUUCACCGCAAUCUUGGUGUGCAUAUAUCAAAGGUAAGCCUUCGAUUGGUAGUAUGCCUACAUGUAUGACUAUUCUGUCUUGCUAUUUUGGAUGCAGAAACCUGUCUGGUAUCUCACAUUAGAAAAGCAUGAAUUUAUUGGCACACUUAAAUGUCUACAUGCUUUAGUUGUUCUUCUGCUGAAAUUCAAAUUAUUUUUUACUAGGAAAACUGUUACUUUAUCUUUAUUGGUGAAACUUCAAGGAACUCAUUAAUUUUCUAGAGAAAAGUAUUUAGUGGCUAAUCCAUGUGAAACUUGUGUCAUAUAUGACUCUUGGUUAUUUAGUUGCUUUGAGAUGAUCAGUGCCCCUAAUAGUAAAGCUUACCAUUUCCCUGUUCUGGAACUUUUUAUAUGUGUGAAAUCAGUUAUGGAAAAAAAUAAUGGAUAAAUAAUUGAGGAUCAAUUACUAAUUUAUUAAGUCAUGAAAAGUACAUUGGACAUCACAGAGGGACAAACUGUCUGACCUCAUAAACCAAAUCCAACUUGAUUGUUUUGUUUGAACAAAAGACAAACACAUCUAUUUCUAUAAUGAUUAAUGUCGACUCUGGUCCUGAAUCUGAAAUUCGAACAACCUUUGGACUAAUUUUGACUCCUUAAACUUGAGUUGUGUUUUGGAUCAUGAUUGUGCAAAUUCUUAUGCAUUAUAUUAUCAUCUCAACUUUCAUUUAUACAGUUCUGUUUUUCUUUAGUUUAUUACACAUUCCAAAUCUUAGAGAGUUAAAUGGUAGCAUGGUACGACUCAAUUACUCAUGAGGAUCUAUAAAUUUUUCCAAGAGCUAAUGCUUCUGCCAUUUUAGAAUCGCUUGUCUGGGAAAAUCAUGUGCCUACUGCAUUAAGAGGAAUUGAAUAGUUGGAAAUUGAUUUUAUGACGAUCGCUUGCAGGAGUCAUCUUGACUGAUAUAUACAGUGGUUGCUGAUACAUAAUAGCAAGAUGUAUUUGGGACCAGCGUUAAUGGGCUCGCUCCAUGUUAAUGACAGUUUGUAAAAUUAUGUUUUCCAUGGAUCCUAUUAACUUUGAAUUUUGCUAGAUGACUGACCACAUAUGAAGACUAUGAUGAUGGGUCAAAUACACCAACACCUAGUGAUUUUUAGUUUACUAGUAGCUGUAACAAUGCGACUGUAAACUACUUGUUCAACAAUUGAUCAUUGUAGAUGCUCAUAUGUGGAGGAGACUUUGACCUUAUGUAUUAAGUCUUUGUCGGAGACUGAUAAUUGACAAUUUUGCUUGGAGAGUUGGAUAAGUAGUGAUCCUUGUGGAGAUAUGAUAAUUUUUUUUACCAUUGCCUAUUUAUAUGGAUUAGUGGGCUGGUUGGACCCCAUAUAUUUGCAAUUGAAACUUGAGUGUCUAGCUUUGCCAAGCCAGAAUGAGUACAUAACUAUGUUAUACUUGGUUAUUUUUAUUAGAUGGAACGCUAUUUAACUAAAGCCCCUUAGAAAAUUGUAUGUUAUGAACCAACCUUGCUUUUUGGGGUUUGAGGCUUGGCCUAUGGGCAACCCUGACUGCAGUAUAUUUUAUUUUGUUCUGCAACAUUUUGUAGGUAUCUUUUCCAGGCUAAAUGGUUUUAGUAAGUUCAUUCAUUUGCAUGUUCAUGGGUUUUCACCAAGGCACUGCAAAGUGACAGUGAUUUAACAAAUCUGAAAUUGCACAUUUCAAUUAGGCCAACUGCAACUAGCUAUGCUCAAAAUUACUGUGGAAGCUUUUAAAAGUCCAAAUACUUGUGAAUACUUGCAAACACCAUAAAUAGAGAUGCCAUAUAUAAAGGUCCAGGCCUUGACCACCUCACAAUGAAGCUCUGAAUAACUCAAUCCCUUUGAGUAAUUGAUUAUCUGAAAUUACACUCAGAACUUGUAUUUGAACAUAAUGCACCUAGUUAGAAACUUUGUUAAUGCAACAAAUAUAACUUGCUUUUUAUUGUCUUGGUUGGAGGGAGUAUGAAAUUUACCUUGCCUAGGAAAAUAGAUACUUUGUCAAUUAUAUCCUCUGUGGUUCCUUAAAUUUCAAUUAGGACAAAUACUAUGCAAGAAAAAUAAAAGGAGAGUACCUGCAGUUAGUUUUGAUCUUCUUUUAACUGUUAAUUAGCUUAUGCUGAAGAAUUUAGGUUAGCUGAUUUCUGAUUAAUCAUUAUAAUGUUUGUUGUCAGUUUUCUUUUCAAUUUUUGGAUAGCUUUAAAUAUUUAUAAUUAUGUUCUGUUUCUUACAGGUGAGAUCUCUAACUCUUGAUGUUAGAGUAUGGGAGCCUUCUGUUAUCAAUCUAUUUCAAUCACUGGGCAAUACGGUUGCCAACACCAUCUGGGAAGAAUCAUUUCCAUCGACAAGCAACGGCAAAUGUGAGAAUGUCUCAAGGUACCAAUAAACCUGGCAGAAAUUUUCUAGCAAUUCUUGCUUAAAUUUUAAAAACUUGUAAAUGUGUGUUAUGCAGUUUCUGUAUUGUUGACAAGACUCAAGGAUAUUACUGUAUCAAUAAGCCUAAACAUUCAGAUCCAAUUACAGUGAAGGAGAAGUUCAUUCAAGCAAAGGUAUUAUACCAUUUAUUUGUCAGUCUCAGAGUUCAAUCAAUCAAGGCCCCUUUGUGUUUGUUGAUGACAAACAGCACAGAUUAUUGGAAGGAGGCUUUGUGUUCUACCCCUUUUUUGCAUAUGUUCAAAUCUUUGAGGCAAAUGCAAAUUUUUCUUUAAUUUGAACUUUGAUCUUCUGGAGAAGGCAGAGGUUGUCUGUGGGAAUUAGCAAGAACAUGAAGCUUUUGGGACAUGCUGACGAAAUAUUAGAUGAUGCAAAGAUGUUAGUUAAUCAGCUACUUUUUAGCAGAUAAUAGAUUUACACUGAUGAUGGGACUGAAUUAUUUUUAUGUUGGGCAUAAUCAACAACGCUUCCCUGAAGUAAUUGCAUAUCUUAAAAGAAGUUGGAAGUUCACUAAAAUCUUUAACAUCAUCAGCCUUCGUUAAAUCAGUCUACAUUUUGUGAAUUAUGUAAUAAUGGAUUGAGAAAUUCCAUCAACGUACAGAGCAGUUGUCACGAUUAGAUGUGACUUGGAUAAGCAACAUCCAUAUUGAUAUCUCGUAUCAGUAAGGAUUUGAUAUAUGCUAUCACAUUGUUCUAAUAGUGUAUAAAAAUGAAUGUUAUUCAGAUUGCAUAAGCAAAGCUUUUGAGUAAUUAUUUUCUUUUGACAGCAUAAUUAGUCUGGAGGCGUGCAAGAGCUAAAUUUUCUUGUUUUUGUGUGUUGAUAUAUUUCCAUGGUACAUAUUACGUCUCUGUGUUCUGUGCAAUAGACCAUUUAGCUUGGAGUCUAUUUGAUUGCAGGGAAAAUGUUGAAGUAUGUCCAAACUCAAAAAUAAAUAAGUGUGUGAAAAGAAAAGGAAAAUUGACUUUAAACUUCUUCUCUUUUCCCUAGUAGGAACUAGUACAACUUGAUUUUUCUUGUAAAAGUGGGUUGAAAAUUAAUGCAAAGAGGAAUUUGGUGAACUUAUAUCUUUGUGUGUUGCUAGCUUUUCUAGAAAUUCUGGAACUCUUUUUGGUUCUAUUUUUUUGGUUUUCUAUCACACUGAUAUUGGGAAAAAAAAUUUGUAGGAACUUUUUUUGCAGGAAAUCUGGCAUAUAACCAGAUAUGAGAAAGUUGGUCUCCUUAAAAAUGAACUUUUUCCAAUGAAAAGGAGAAGAAAAGGAAUAAUAAAAAAGAAAAAAAAGAAAAAAAGAAAAAGGAAAAACGAAAAGGGUUGGGGGGAUAUUUGCUUCUCAGUUUGUAUGCCAAGUAGCUUAUAUUGCAUUUCUGAUCUUUGGAGUCUAGGAAAAGGUGAAGAGUUUACUUUGUUGCUUUUAUUGCAUGACAUAAUGAAGCCUGAUGAUACACUGGUACUUGAAAAGAAUUGUCAGGAAAAUGCCAGAUCCUGAAGACAUCUCUGUGCAAUUCAAUAAAUGCUAUGCAGAGGC